GUUAGUGGGCCUGUGGUCUCAGCUACUUAGGAGGCUGAGGUGGGUGGAUUGCUUGAACCCAGGAGUUCUGGGCUGUAAUGCACUAUGUCGAUCGGAUGUCCACAUUAAGUUUGGCAUCAAUAUGGUGACCUUCUGGGAGCAGGGGGACUACCAGGUUACCUUAGGAGGGUGAACCAGCCCAGGUCAGAAAUGGAGUAGGUAAAAACUCCCAUGCUGAUUAGUAGUGGGAUAGUGCAUGUGAAUAGCCACUGCACUCCAGCCUCGGAAACAUAGCAAGACCCUGUCUCUU
This 289-nucleotide signal recognition particle RNA is filed under the name Pongo abelii (Sumatran orangutan). RNAcentral describes it as "Metazoan signal recognition particle RNA (ENSPPYG00000041526.1)". It matches the Rfam family "Metazoan signal recognition particle RNA". Rfam says of the family: The signal recognition particle (SRP) is a universally conserved ribonucleoprotein. It is involved in the co-translational targeting of proteins to membranes. Lineage: Eukaryota; Metazoa; Chordata; Mammalia; Primates; Hominidae. The record is from Rfam by way of RNAcentral.